ACCCCGCUGUCAAUCAUCAAGAGGACAGUCCACACUGCCUUACCUAGGGAUAAUUAAGUGUUUUGGGACCAUGUGGGUCAUUUAUAAAAGAUGGAGCAACUCAUACCUACUCGCAGCCACGCCGCUCGAAAUGGAAAUACUGGUUACUCUUUUGUCAGACAAAGCCUAAACGUGUCUGCGGGGUUCACUAUAAGGCUCCUAUGGGCCAUAGUGACUUUUUGCGCUGUAACAGGUGACGCACACGGAGAGCAAUUCAAACUGAGCAACAGAUGGAGGUGCACAACAGGAUAUUACCACUAAGAGGAUUCCUCUUUCUUCGCCCAUCACUCUGGACGUUUUUUUUUUUUUGUGGGAACAGAGUCUUUCAUCGUGACCCAGCUCGACUGGCUUACUGGAACUGGUGUAGAGUUGUUGGUUAAGCCCUCUGGAACCCGCCACCACUACCCAUGUUGACCUGCUCGGCAAACCAAAAUCCUUAAACAAGUCCGCUGUGAAUAACCUUAAAAUAAGUAACCAGGUGGGAUUAGAAAGUCCUCGCAGCGUCUUGAGUAUCUGAACUUUGACUUUUCACUCAGAACUCCGAGGUAGGUGCCAGCUCUCAAUGUGUGAAUGGCCCAGUGUUAAGUUUACUCUCCAGGGCUACAGUACAGGACUGCUCAAUAUACUGUUUUUAUAUCGUCAUUGCAAUAUCAACUAGCGCAAUAUACAUAUCACGAAAGGCUGCAACAUAUCGCGAUAGACACUCAGAUUUUUUUGUGUUAGUUGAAAGAAAAUAUCAGU
This is a long non-coding RNA of Sander lucioperca (pikeperch), 780 nucleotides long. RefSeq lists it as uncharacterized. The transcript is spliced from 2 exons. The record is from RefSeq and is a predicted model, not a curated record. NCBI's taxonomy places the organism in Eukaryota, Metazoa, Chordata, Actinopteri, Perciformes, Percidae.